RNAcentral lists this non-coding RNA (23 nucleotides) under Cricetulus griseus (Chinese hamster). Lineage: Eukaryota; Metazoa; Chordata; Mammalia; Rodentia; Cricetidae. The record is from RNAcentral.
ACAAGAGCUGGAAGUAAUGAGGA